RNAcentral lists this ribosomal RNA (860 nucleotides) under uncultured bacterium. Its description in RNAcentral is "bacterial SSU rRNA". It matches the Rfam family "Bacterial small subunit ribosomal RNA", at positions 9 to 896 of the family's 1533-position model. The record is from RNAcentral.
GAGUUUGAUCAUGGCUCAGGACGAACGCUGGCGGCGUGCCUAACACAUGCAAGUCGAACGAGGUAGCAAUACCUAGUGGCGGACGGGUGAGUAACGCGUAGGUAACCUGCCUCAUAGUGGGGGAUACCCAGCCGAAAGGUUGGCUAAUACCGCAUACCUUCCAUCUUUGGAAUAGGAUGGAAGAAAGAUUUAUCGCUAUGAGAGGGGCCUGCGUCCGAUUAGCUAGUUGGUGGUGUAAUGGACCACCAAGGCGACGAUCGGUAACUGGUCUGAGAGGACGAUCAGUCACACUGGAACUGAGACACGGUCCAGACUCCUACGGGAGGCAGCAGUGGGGAAUUUUCCGCAAUGGGCGAAAGCCUGACGGAGCAACGCCGCGUGGAUGAUGAAGUCUUUCGGGACGUAAAAUCCUUUCAGCAGGGACGAAGCGAGUGACGGUACCUGCAGAAGAAGCAUCGGCUAACUACGUGCCAGCAGCCGCGGUAAUACGUAGGAUGCAAGCGUUGUCCGGAAUCAUUGGGCGUAAAGCGAACGUAGGCGGUUUGUUAAGUCUGUGCUUAAAGACCGGGGCUCAACCCCGGGAAUGGCAUGGAUACUGGCAGACUGGAGGAUGUUAGAGGAAAGUGGAAUUCCUAGUGUAGCGGUGAAAUGCGUAGAUAUUAGGAGGAACACCAGUGGCGAAAGCGACUUUCUGGGACAUUCCUGACGCUGAGGUUCGAAAGCUCGGGGAGCAAACAGGAUUAGAUACCCUGGUAGUCCGAGCCGUAAACGAUGGAUACUAGGUGCUGAGGGUAUCGACCCCCUCAGUGCCGUAGCUAACGCGUUAAGUAUCCCGCCUGGGGAGUACGGUCGCAAGACUG